This 1044-nucleotide long non-coding RNA is filed under the name Apteryx haastii (Great spotted kiwi). RNAcentral's name for it is "lncRNA (ENSAHAG00000006989.1)". The record is from RNAcentral. Lineage: Eukaryota; Metazoa; Chordata; Aves; Apterygiformes; Apterygidae.
AGGCCGCUCCACGCUCGCUGCUCGCCCCGCCGGAGCGGGCCGAGGGGCCCCGAAACCCGCGCAGUGGAGGAGGGGAAGAAGCACGCUCCGGGCAAGCAAAAGGAGAAGCCAGGCGACGCGCCCAAACCGCCUCCCCUGACCUGUCAAAGCCCCAUCUGCAGCCCGGGGCUGGUGCCACUGCGACACGUGCGUGACGGCUGGCUGCCCCCCAAAGCCGCGGGCCCGCCGCCUCUCAGCGCCGCCGCAGCCCCCCGUCCCGCCGAGCGCGGGAGCAGCUCCCCGGGCAGCGCCGGGCCGGGCCGGGCCGGGCCGGGCCGCCACUCACCUGCCGGCCGGCUGCAGCGCGGACCCCCACGAGCGCGGCUGCCACUACCCACAGGGACAGGAGCACCAUCACGAGCCGGGGCGCCGCAGAGACCGCCGCCCAGCGCCACCGCACGCACCGGCCCCGCGCUCCUUCGCCUUUCCUUUCCUUUUUCUUUUUUCUCUUCCUCUUCUUCUUUCUCCUCCCUGCUGCUGCUCCUCUUCUCGCCGUCCCUCGGGCCCCGCGCGGGGAGCGCCGCGGGCGGGACGCGAACCGGCGGCGGCGGAGGGGCGGCGGCGGCUGCCGGGGGCGCGGGCUGCAGCCCCGCUAGCGCCGGCGCCCGCGCGUGCUGCCGGCGGGGCGCCCCGGGGCUCAGGGCAGCCGGGCGGGCUGGGCGCGGGGGGCGGCGGCGGCGGCGGGGCGGCGAGUCACCGCGCCGCCUCCUGUUGCUCGCUGCGCCCUGCCUGCGCCGCGCAUCGCGACCUGCGGCGCUAAUAAAGCCGCACCGGCCCCCGGGCGCGGCUCCGCCUUCGGCGUGGCCCGACACACCGACGUCAGGGCCGCCGCCGCCGCCACCCCCGGCCCGGCCCGGCGCGGCUCCCCGACCGGGGGCCGCGGGGAAAACUCUUCCGCGCCGCCUCGCGCUGCCCCUCGUUGCAGCGGCUCUGAGGAGGGCUUCCCGGCCCGGGAAGGCGCCCCUGCCUUGCCGAGCUUGCUCUCACCUGAGGCCCGGCAGCUGA